GGAUUUGACACUGCAAAGCAAGAUUUUAUCAGCUGCCAGAGCAAUAGGUGUUCCAUGGGUGGGCUCACCAGCUCCUGAAGAAGUGGGUGCACGUGAUGCUGUUUCAAUACAAUAAGGACAGAAAGAGUUUUAAGCCUCAGUGAGGAGCACAAGCCCACUCUAGACAAGGAAUGUCAGAAGAUACAGAAGUGACCUGAACUGGUACUUGCUGUUGAAGAACUCAUGACUCAUCUUUGCCCAUGUUCUUAUCUGCUGUUUGGGGCCAUCUGUGGACACGACAGCUGGAGCACCAAAAAGUGAGUUUGUUUUCCAGACAAGCCUUCAGAAGAAGCAGUCCCUGGAGUUUGCAUCCAUCAGUAAAAGGCUCCAGAAGGAAGGAAUCAGGCCUAAAGCAUGUAGUUCUCACAGCACAUUUGGAUGCACCCUUGUGCUCUGCUCCAGUAUCCUGUGCUCCCCACACUGUUCCCUGAGGAAUUCCACAUUAACAACAUGAAGCGUCAUUUCUGUUCUUGGGAAUGGGAUUAGGAGAAAGCCACAGCUAAAACAAUGCAACACCUGGUUAAUUUAAGACACAGCAGGAGAACUCCUGCUCCCAGCAUACAAAAAGACAGCCCACAUGGCUCCUCAU
Long non-coding RNA from Pezoporus flaviventris, 628 nucleotides. RefSeq lists it as uncharacterized. The record is from RefSeq and is a predicted model, not a curated record. The transcript has 3 exons. NCBI's taxonomy places the organism in Eukaryota, Metazoa, Chordata, Aves, Psittaciformes, Psittacidae.